Molecule: long non-coding RNA, 1490 nt
Filed under: Sus scrofa (pig)
Lineage: Eukaryota; Metazoa; Chordata; Mammalia; Artiodactyla; Suidae
Description: lncRNA (ENSSSCG00035080782.1, ENSSSCG00045012540.1, ENSSSCG00070029976.1)
Source: RNAcentral
CACAUAAACUAUCAGUAUAUAAACAUAUAGCGUACAUGUUCAUAUAAGUAUUAUAUAUUUAUACAUAAGUAUACGACUUAUGUGUAGGACUACUAUUGAUAGAAUUGACUUCUGCCUUUACAGUCACUGAUUUAUGGCCAAGUAGCUAAAACUGCUUAAUGUUUAAUACAUUUGUACAUGCUAUAAAACGCUUCUUAAUAAUUUAGCAAAUAAAGAGAACUUACAAACCUAUUAUACUUUCCCUUCUUUCUCAGCAUGAAUAUCCUGUCUCUGAUAUGAAUGACUUACUUCUCAAAACAGGUAUAUUCUUAAAGAGAUCUAGGCAAUUAAAAUGCUUUUUUAAAAUUUUAUUUAUUUUUAAUUUAUUUUCUUUGUCUUUUUGCCUUUUAUAGGGCCGCUUCUGAGGCAUGUGGAGGUUCCCAGGCUAGGGGUCCAAUUGGAGCUGUAGCCGCCAGCCUACACCACAGCCACAGCUACUCGGGAUCAGAGCCGCGUCUGCAACCUACACCACAGCUCAUGGCAAUGCUGGAUCCUUAACCCACUGAGCAAGGCCAGGGACCGAACUCGCAACCUCAUGGUUCCUAGUCAGAUUCGUUAACCACUGAGCCACGAUGGGAACUCCAAAUUAAAAUGUUUUUUUUUAAAAAACCCCACACAUGUAAAAAAAAACACUAGGGAAAAUUAACUAUUUAAGUUUGCUAUAGAUUGAAUAAUUUAGAAAAGCAAAUAAUCCCUCCUUUAUUUGUUCAUUUUACAGUUCAGAUUUUAGACGUCAUAGGGAGACUAAAGCAAGGCUCACAUGUAUACUUUGCUGAUGGUCUCGGAGGUGGUGCUCAUGAUGGAGGAGGUGCUGAUGGAGAUGUUGAGAGGCAGUGAUGAAGACAGGGAAACCAAGUGGUUAAAUGACUUCUUUGGAUGAGUUCAGAAGAGGCACCUGAGCCAAGGAUCCAAGUCAGGGACACUAGGCUUCUGCACCCAGCUGGGGCCGUUCAGACUGAUACAGAUGUGAAGAUGGCGAACUUUUCUGAGUGACUUAUCAGAAGGAUGGCGGGAUGGCUUUCAGCCAGCCGUUGAACUCACUCUGGAUGGUUGUCAAGGAUGAAAGUUCUAUUGGCAGAUCUCUCCCAUGAAAUGUGUGUGUCUGUGUUUUAUUUAUUUAUUUUUAACUUUUUCGCUCACCUGACUCCUCACUGGUUUGGUUGAUCUGUAUCAUGGCGUUUAUCUGCUUGUCUCUGGAGUGUUAGACCACGUAGGGGUAAAGAUGUGGGCACCAUGCCAGGACCCGAACUUGUGAGUGGUGCCAGCCAAAACCAAUUUCUGACUCACCAGGAAAUGACGUGCUAGGAGCUCUUAAGAUGCCAGUGUAUUUUUCUAGGGCAAUGCCUUGACCAAAUGACCUUGCACAUCUGCCUCCUUCCCAUCUCCAUGUUCCCAACCUGUGGUCACUCCAUUAAUUGGGAUGAAUAAAAUAUCCUCUCAAGUUAAUCUCC